Molecule: ribosomal RNA, 423 nt
Filed under: Triticum aestivum (bread wheat)
Lineage: Eukaryota; Viridiplantae; Streptophyta; Magnoliopsida; Poales; Poaceae
Description: partial small subunit ribosomal RNA
Source: RNAcentral
AUGGUGAGGCAGCGUCAGACUGCAAGGAUCUCCACGAGAGGUCUCUUCCCCAGGGCGCUGGUGCCCGGCACCGGCGGCGGCUCCAACACCGGAGCGGCAGCGGGCUCCAAUUUUGGCGCGGGGGCCAACCUUGGCGCUAGCUUCUACUAUGGCGCUUCCUCGAUGGGCUCGGGCUCCUACUCCAACUACUCCGAGUUCGAGCCCGCGCCAUCUAAGCUGUCUCGUAACCAUAGGGAGCUCGAGGAGGAGGCACCGAGGAGGAGGUGGCCUUCGAGGCGAUGUAGGAGCACCUCGACAUCCACGGUGUCGAAGAUGAGGCCGAGGAAGAUGUACCGGCUCCUGCGUAAUAUAUUGCCAUGCUCACUGCCUAGGCCGAGGAGGCCCUGCGUGCGGCGUAGGAGCAACUCGACCAGGCGGUGCUAG